GAGGCUUUAGCUUAAUGAAAGUUGUUNNNUUGCAUUCAGGAGAUAUAAAUAAGUCAUUUAUAGGUCUU
Molecule: transfer RNA, 68 nt
Filed under: Anolis limifrons
Lineage: Eukaryota; Metazoa; Chordata; Lepidosauria; Squamata; Anolidae
Description: tRNA-Ala
Source: RNAcentral